UGGAGGGUCCGAACAGUUACCCACUUUACGACGUUGAGUUCCAGUUGACGGCGAACGGCAGUGGUGCUACGGUAUUAGUUCGGUGUCAGGGUUCGAGCGUUUUUCGGCGUUUCAGAGUCGUUUUUUAGCGUUGGGUUUCGGCGGGUCCGUUUCAACAUUGGGUUUCCGACGGGUCUGUUUCAGCGUUGGAACCAAUCUCGAUAUCGGAGCCAUUUCAGUCGAACGUGAGUCUCUCAGUUUUUCUUGGCAUUUGGUCGACGGUACAGUUGGAUUUGUAUUGUGGUUAAUAACAGAUUGCUAUUUUGUUGAAUUCUGUAAUUGGUCGUUAAUAUGAUAGUAAUGAUCUAUUAGUUAAUAUGAGCACAGUGAUAUUAGUCUAUGAAUGAUAGACUUGUAUCUAUCUAGUAGUCUAUCAAUGAUAUUUAGUCAAUCGAUGAUAUACUCUAUCUUUUAUAAAUGAUAUAUAUGAGUGUAAGGCUAAGAUGAUAAUUAUAUAUAUAUUUUUUUCUUUUUUUACAGUAAUUUAUAAUUAUGAUUAAUGACUGUGAUGGGUGUAACACUACCUCAUUUGCAAGCUUCAUACUGUAAAAAGGCCACGAAAACAAAAUCAUUUGCAAGCUUCAUACUGUAAAAAGGCCACGAAAACAAAAGAAAUAUGAUUGAUGAGAAGAUGAGGUCACAACUGCAAAAGUGCACACUUUCACUAUUUUUACAACGAUGUAACAUUAUGUUCUUGAGAUAAGAAUAAUUUUGCUUGAAGAUUAAGAACGUUUUUUUGUUAGCACUAAAUACAUUUUAUUUGUUUGACUAAAACCUUACAUAAGAACUUACCUUUACAUGUAGGUGGCUUUCUCGUGUCCAUACAAGUGGCAACCCCUUCAAAAAAAUCAAAAGCACAACUUCAAACAGAUUGGCAUAUAGACCAUACGACGUCCACCACAUAAUGAAAAGCUUCAAACAAAAUAUUCAUAAUUAAGCAACGGCCCUAACAACAUAUCAUCAUCUUCAAGAUCUAGAAAUAGACACAACCAGAGAUUUAAUAGGGAAAACAUGUUCCCCAUUCAAAAUCUACAAAGCAUCAACAAAUUAGAAACAAUCCAGAAAAUAAUGAGUAUACAGAAUUUUUUAGAUAAUGAAAAAUGAAGUCUGCAGAAUAAUAUAUCUACAUAUUCUAGAAGACAUUGUG
RNAcentral lists this long non-coding RNA (1186 nucleotides) under Cucumis sativus (cucumber). RNAcentral's name for it is "long non-coding RNA (CSAT_LNC002069)". The record is from RNAcentral. Lineage: Eukaryota; Viridiplantae; Streptophyta; Magnoliopsida; Cucurbitales; Cucurbitaceae.